CCCUCCACCGCGCGCCGCCCCUCUCCUUCCCCGCGCUGGCUACCUCCCUGCCCCUCGCGCCGAACGCCUCUCUCCACCGUGCGCCACCCUCCUCCUUCCCCCGCGCCGGCCACCUCCCUCUCCCGCGCGCCGGAGGCCGCCUCCUUUCCCCGACCCUCCGGACGCCGCCUCCUUCCCAGAUCCCGGCACCGCCCUGCAACACAACCGGCGCCACGGCUGUUGCCCCGCACCAUAUUCAUGCGCUGCUACCGCUCUACCACCGUGUACAGGCAGUUCAACGCUCCAACCACACGCCGUUCAAUCUCUCCAGCGUGGACACGCCAUUCCACCUCCUUCUAGUUGCCUCUCAUCCCGGUAUGGCCAGGGCGUUGGGUUCGCCGCCGCUGCGACCAGCAGUCCAACCCGGCCGCCCCAGGCCGUUCACCGUCGCAGCUCCCAGGCCGACUGUGUCGAGCCACCUUCCGCCCGCACCUUGGGCUCCCGUAUGCGUCCCCUGCCCAAGCUGGUGCACACGUCCCUGCCCACCGUCCCUCCUCUUUGUUCUUCACUACAUAAGGUUUUUUUGAGUGCACGCCAUGUGUUUGCUAAAAUGCCUCAGUGCACUCGCCUACUAGUUUUGAUGUGUUCAUGUUCGUUUGUAGCUAAUGUAAAAUCAGCUUUCUCUUGAGGCAGGGACAAAGAAGUGAGCCAAAAAGAUGAAUGACAGUUUGUUCACAAGGUCAUCUGCUCAACAAGAGAAGCAUGUACUGCUCAGUACAUGUAUAACUAAUGGGAAGGUUCAAAAACCAGAACUCAUCAAGUUCAACGUUGAUGGUACUGUGCACAUGCAAAAUUAGAUCAAUAGUAUUGUUGAACAAUUCCUACUCCUCAACUCCAGCGUCCUCCCUCCAUCCCGCACUGCCGCCUCGCCACCUCGCUCAACCUUGCCAACGUCCUACCAUCCCUGGUAUGUCCCUGGCCACCCUCACGCCACCAUAGCGCUCAGGCCGUUCACCGCCGGCACCAUAGUACGUUCACUGCCGAUACCCGAGGUUGUUCAACGACGCAACGACGAAGUCUGGCCUUCCCCCUUACCCUUUUCAUGUAGCAUAUUCUGCAAAAAUAUCAGACGCUCUCAACUGAAUGGAAAGUGUGUCCCACAACUGCAGGUAUAACCACUGCAGGAGUUUGAAAAUCUCAACAAAUAAAGCUCAAACCAAAGUUCAAGAACUGCUUCCUUCAUAAAUUAGUUUUCUUUUGGUUAAUUCGUUGUUCUAGACAGUACAGAUGUACAUUAUUGUCUAGUACAUGUGCGUAUUGUAUAUAUUGGUUAAUAAGAUAUAACAAAAAGUUCAUAAAAAACCCAGAACACAUGGUAGUUCUGGAAUCUGGGAGUUCAGGAAAAAAUGAUCCAAAAAUGAGCAUUGGGAGGGUUUGAAAAAUACAUCAUCAGCAAGGAUUUAUUGUACGCUCACUAGUUCGGUUAUAACUACAAAAGUUGAUCUCUGUCUUGAUCUCUGUACUUAUUCAUCCUGUCACUCGAUCGUUCUAUGGUUGUUAUGAUGUGACUUAACAUACAAUCACUUUUGGCGUUCUUCCAUAAACAAUGAAGGGAAUGCUAAAAGGAGGGUAUGUUUUCCAAGCUGACAUCUGCAAGCCCUCAUUAGGACAAGCAAAGUGCAGAAAUAAGUUCUGACCCUGAAAACUGCAGAGUUGGACUUCCUCGUAUUCAAGUGCUCGCAACUAAGCUUCACUUCUGGUUUGUUUGAAUUAACUGGUCCAGACGUCUCAAGCUGCUAAGGCCUACAUCUCCCUGCCAAUGUCUCAUCGCCUGUGCCGACAUGGUCGUGGUAAGUUCGUUGGCGUAGUUCCUAUGCUUUGAUGAGGUCAAGCCCACUGUCGUAUUAGUCGCCACAACCUCAUAUCGUUGCCGCCAAGGUUUCCCCUCGCUCUCUCCCCUGAAUUCUCUUGAAGAACAUCCAUUUAUCUCGCUGAAUUCUUGAUAGCAUGUUCUAAAUAAGCUUGUAUUCACUCCCUAAGUACUCCUAAAAAGCACUUUUAUUCUAAUUAUACGAAUUUUAUACUUAUGGGAUGUUCAAAUAAACCAGUACACACGUGUGGUGCCGUCUAUAUAAUUAUGUAAAGAAGAUCUAUAUGUGUAAGUUAUCUGAUAAAAGAAAGAGGAAAAUCAACUUGCAAAUUUAGGGAAACAUGUGUACCUUGAGAAAAGUUCACAGAAUAAAUGCUAGGAGGGUCAUUUUGUGUUUGUUUAAAUGUCUUCAGUGCAAGUGUGGAGGGCCGGUAAGUUCUACUACCAGUCUAAGCCAAGUUCAGGAGCAUUGCCACUGAUGGCAAGGACAACGAACCAACGACAUCGGAUCAUAGGUCGAAGGAGUCUGGGUCAAGGCGCCAUGACUGGUUAUUGUUGUAUGCUGGUGUCGUGCUUGUUGAUGCGGACUAGCAGAUCAAUGUAUAUGCAUGUUGUUUGCUUUUGACAUGGUAUAUAUAAACUAUUGGUACAAAUUCUAGUACCUAUAUCACAAAAGUUCAUUGCGAAAAAAAAUAUCAGUUCAAUGGAUACAUUGUAUCUGUUUAUCACAUAUACUUGCGAAAGAGUUCAAAAUGUUCUUCCCUUUCUGGAAAUUACAUGUGAUUAUUCAUUUCUUUUUGGGCCAUACAAACAACAAUAACUCAUUAGGCUUGUAUGGCUGAAUUUCUAUUCAUUUGCUCGUAUGACUGGAAUGCAUCUUUGCUUGUAUUAUCUCUUGUAACACUAAGAUUUUUUUAUGUUGUCAUGUCUUUAGGAGCGCCCCGGCCGAUCACAGCCACCACCACAGGCCGUUCAACGCCACCUCCGAGGAAAACCAUAUCCAAAAAACAGAGUAAAGUCCAAUAUGUGAAAAUAGCUCAGUACAAACACACAAAUGGAUCAGUACGAGUACUCUGUUUUUCGUCGAAAUACUAUUGUUUGAACUGAAUCAUCUGAAUUGAAGCACAGUGGCAUCAAAACCAAAUAAUUUCCAUAUCAAGGUUCAGUGUGGAUUUUACACUUAUGAAAUGAUUUUCACCCUAACAAACUAGCUUCAAACAACCUUUUAGCAUAAUGUCGUGCCUGUUGAACACCUACUGAUUUGAUUCAGCAACUUCUACUGAUGUCUAUAAUCGUACAACAGUUUGGAUUCCUAACUGAAACAGAUUAGCAGCAAAAGUUUCAGCAAACAAUCUGUUUUUUAGAUUGCUAAAAAGAAACCCAAAACAUCCGGACAAGUUGACUACUACAAAUAAGAGUUUCUUGCCAAAGGGAAGAGUUAGGAAGUGGAGGGGCUCUCACGAGGUGUCCCGGCGGCGACGACGAUGACGUGGAGGCUCUGGCUAUUGUUGGGCAGCAUUAACAUUUUGAUAGUCCUUCUGCAGGGCCCAAACCCACUAUCGUGCAGAAAAAGAAAGCAAAGCCCCAACCAUCAGCUGCUCAAUCAUCAGGGUCUGAUGGCCGAUGGAGAAGCGAAGCGAAAGACGGUUAGGAAGCGCAAGAGAAGUGGCAAAGACAUCAGGUCCAUGUGUAUUUAACAGCAAGUCCAUGUAUUACUACAUGAGAAGUACUGCUAUUCCCUCACUGGAUUUGCAGGCUCACGACCAUCCUCUAACACCCCGUCAGUGCCACCUAUUUGAAGGAGCUCCGUGAGCGUGUACUUCUCCUGAUGCAGAGGCCGGGGUUUUUCCUCCUUAUCUAAAAAAAAUGUGCUGCUCCACUCGUAGCUCCCAGCCUACCCUCGAGCAAGUUCGUGCCGUGCACGAGAUCAGUUCAACCUGUGCACUUGUUCGACCUCGACGCUUGUGGCAGUCCCACAAGGACGAGUGUGGUCUACGAUCGACCAGUUGGUUCCCAAGCGAGUUCCUGGCUGAAGGUGGGCUUCCAUGUUGAGGUGUGGAACGCAAUGUACAUGGAGAUCUUGAUGGAGUACGAUGAUGGCGAUGUGGCGCAGGUGGACCUCAUGGAGUUCGGCUGGGCUGGCGGCGGUGGACGCGGAUGCAUGAGUUGUGGGGCUCCAUCUGUCGCUCGACCACCGCUUACUCCCACUCUGUUCACUGGUUUUGUUUUCACUGUCACGCCUGUUCCUCGUCAACCUGCAGCAGCAGGAGACAUGAGAUCACCUCCGGCACCGCUGGUCACAUGAAGGCCGUCAAAAAUGAAGAUGGUGAACUAUGGGAGUACAUCAAGGUCGAAAAAGCCCUUCAUCUGCAUCCAUCUGCGGGAGGAACACUGCUUUGACAUCAGGAACAUUUUCCUCCACUAGAGCCACUGCGGCCUACGGCAGCCCAUGGUGGCGGAGUUCGUCGCGUCCAUCAGUCCAACCCCAUGGCUUCAGGGCAUCCGAGUUUUGUCGCGGCCAUCAGUUCGGACACCUGCGUCACUGCGUGUGUUGCAGCCACACCCAUUUGUGUCACUGCGUGCUCCGUCACCGGCCUCCUGCGCGCCGUGACCCCUGCCACACUCCUUCCUCUCCCUGAAGCUGUUCGUGCCCUCCCAGGCUUGAUAUCCUGCUGUAGCGAUGAGCUCCUGUACAUCGCCGAAGUUCCAUACCUGCUCAACGGCACCAGCACGAGGAUGCAGCAGCUAGGCUGAACCCCAGUUUGUGCCUCAAGGUCAAGUACGCGUACGCCUGCGAGAAGUGCAGGUUCUCCGGUGCGCCAAGUAUUGUUGGCAGCGAUGCCUGCUUACGUCUUCCUCGUAUGAUUCACCAAGGCCGCGUCCUCCUCUUGAGAUAAGAAGAGCGACAAGGAGAUGGAGAGCACGGUCUUUUUUCCGUGGAGCUGGCUGCUGCAGUACGGCCUAGUCCAGUCUAAGCCCUCCAUGGUUGCUGUUGCUAUUUCCGCAACCAGGCUACCCCGAAGAAGACCCCUAUGUGGACUGACAAUCUAAAUUAUAGUGUGUGUUCUUUAUUUAUAAUUGAAGUUCAAAAAUAUCAUUGGCAGGGGUACAGAAAUGAUUAUAGUCGUUAUAGCAAAAAAAAAGCGCAGAAACUUGAAGAACAAAAUUAUUGGUACACAUAAACAAAUUGGAUUUAUGUGUUAUGUAGUAUUGGUACUUAAGAACAAAAGUUCAGAUUUCAAACUUUCAAUAGUUUAAUGCUACGUAGAAAGGAACAUAAGUCCACCCUACAAAAAAACCCAGUAAAUGCAUUUCGGUUAUGAUCUAAAUUUCUUUUGGUCCAUCUCUUUUAGUCUCUAACAGAGAACUUCCGCUGAUAUUGUAAUAAUCGAUAGUUUUUUCAUCUUUAGCUCAUUAAGUGUUAAGAUUUCAAUGAAGUAAAAUGCUUCUAAGCUUUGGCCAUUUUGGUUAUUUUCAGGAUUUUCUAGAUCGGGGAAGGUGCGGAGCUUGCCUGAUUGCUUGCUACUUUGCAUGUUCUGUUUACCCACUAUGCAUGUGUUGAUGUUGCUGCUUCUAGGAGCCCUAAAUUUUGUACCACGCCGACAAGCCAGGCAGUCGGUCUUUGCAUCACGAACUGGUGCAGUUUGAUCUUGCGCAAGCGGGAAAUUCCCUGAUGCCGAGUGUAUCAGUACCACCCUACGCUCCAAGCAUGCCUCCUCCUGGUCGCCCAUCAGUUCUCUUGUUCUUGCUGCUUCUCCUAACAUCACCAUAAAAGUUUUGCUAGGAAAAAAAUGCGUGGAUAAAGAGGAUUGCAGUGACAGUAAUUUUGGUUGCCAUUUCUCUCUAUAGCAGAUCGCAUCCGUACAAAAAAUGCUACUGCAGUUUACUCUAUGUAAAAAAUUAAUAAGGUUCAAUUCACAAAAACAUGUGGAAGUUCGUUUGGAAAAUUCUGCAGCCUAUUUGAUUACGCCAAGAUGUACAGGAUGACAAUUCUUUAUUGUGUGCCUUCAGCACAAUUUAAAUUAACUAGUUGACCAUA
Molecule: long non-coding RNA, 5888 nt
Organism: Triticum aestivum (bread wheat)
Lineage: Eukaryota; Viridiplantae; Streptophyta; Magnoliopsida; Poales; Poaceae
Exons: 12
Source: RefSeq, a predicted model, not a curated record